RNAcentral lists this ribosomal RNA (253 nucleotides) under uncultured prokaryote. RNAcentral's name for it is "partial 16S ribosomal RNA". It matches the Rfam family "Bacterial small subunit ribosomal RNA", at positions 525 to 777 of the family's 1533-position model. The record is from RNAcentral.
ACGUAGGGUGCGAGCGUUGUCCGGAAUUAUUGGGCGUAAAGAGCUUGUAGGCGGUUUGUCGCGUCUGUCGUGAAAGUCCGAGGCUCAACCUCGGAUCUGCGGUGGGUACGGGCAGACUAGAGUGAUGUAGGGGAGACUGGAAUUCCUGGUGUAGCGGUGAAAUGCGCAGAUAUCAGGAGGAACACCGAUGGCGAAGGCAGGUCUCUGGGCAUUUACUGACGCUGAGGAGCGAAAGCAUGGGGAGCGAACAGGA